RNAcentral lists this ribosomal RNA (646 nucleotides) under Pseudomonas sp. RNAcentral describes it as "bacterial SSU rRNA". It matches the Rfam family "Bacterial small subunit ribosomal RNA", at positions 61 to 702 of the family's 1533-position model. Lineage: Bacteria; Pseudomonadati; Pseudomonadota; Gammaproteobacteria; Pseudomonadales; Pseudomonadaceae. The record is from RNAcentral.
GUCGAGCGGCAGCGGGUCCUUCGGGAUGCCGGCGAGCGGCGGACGGGUGAGUAAUGCCUAGGAAUCUGCCUGGUAGUGGGGGAUAACUCGGGGAAACUCGAGCUAAUACCGCAUACGUCCUACGGGAGAAAGCGGGGGAUCUUCGGACCUCGCGCUACCAGAUGAGCCUAGGUCGGAUUAGCUAGUUGGUGAGGUAAAGGCUCACCAAGGCGACGAUCCGUAGCUGGUCUGAGAGGAUGAUCAGCCACACUGGAACUGAGACACGGUCCAGACUCCUACGGGAGGCAGCAGUGGGGAAUAUUGGACAAUGGGCGAAAGCCUGAUCCAGCCAUGCCGCGUGUGUGAAGAAGGUCUUCGGAUUGUAAAGCACUUUAAGUUGGGAGGAAGGGCAGUAAGUUAAUACCUUGCUGUUUUGACGUUACCGACAGAAUAAGCACCGGCUAACUUCGUGCCAGCAGCCGCGGUAAUACGAAGGGUGCAAGCGUUAAUCGGAAUUACUGGGCGUAAAGCGCGCGUAGGUGGUUUGAUAAGUUGGAUGUGAAAGCCCCGGGCUCAACCUGGGAAUUGCAUCCAAAACUGUCUGACUAGAGUAUGGCAGAGGGUGGUGGAAUUUCCUGUGUAGCGGUGAAAUGCGUAGAUAUAGGAA